Podarcis lilfordi (Lilford's wall lizard) is the source of this 78-nucleotide non-coding RNA. The record is from the annotation of a GenBank genome assembly. NCBI's taxonomy places the organism in Eukaryota, Metazoa, Chordata, Lepidosauria, Squamata, Lacertidae.
GCGAUUGGGCUGGAUCAGAGGUAGAGCAUCUGCCUUACAUGCAGAAAACCUCCUGUGGUUCAAUCCCCAGGUAGGGCU